Molecule: long non-coding RNA, 203 nt
Organism: Sapajus apella (tufted capuchin)
Lineage: Eukaryota; Metazoa; Chordata; Mammalia; Primates; Cebidae
Exons: 2
Source: RefSeq, a predicted model, not a curated record
CACUAAGUUCGGCAACAAUAUGAUGACCUCCUGGGAGCGGGGGACCAUCGGGUUGUCUAAAGAGGAGUGAACCGGCCCAGGUCGGAAACGGAGAAGGUCAAAACUUCCGUGCUGAUCAGUAGCGGGAUCGCGCCUGUGAAUCACCACUGCACUCCAGCCUGGGCUACAGAGCGAGGCUCCAUUUCAAAAAAAAAAAAAAAAAA